Molecule: ribosomal RNA, 247 nt
Filed under: uncultured bacterium
Lineage: Bacteria
Description: partial 16S ribosomal RNA
Rfam family: Bacterial small subunit ribosomal RNA
Source: RNAcentral
AUACGUAGGGAGCAAGCGUUAUCCGGAUUUAUUGGGUGUAAAGGGUGCGUAGACGGAGAGGCAAGUUAGUUGUGAAAUCCCUCGGCUUAACUGAGGAACUGCAACUAAAACUACUUCCCUUGAGUGCUGGAGAGGAAAGUGGAAUUCCUAGUGUAGCGGUGAAAUGCGUAGAUAUUAGGAGGAACACCAGUGGCGAAGGCGACUUUCUGGACAGUAACUGACGUUGAGGCACGAAAGUGUGGGGAGC